AUUGAACGCUGGCGGCAGGCUUAACACAUGCAAGUCGAACGAGUGGCGGACGGGUGAGUAGUGCUUGGGACUCUAGCUUAUGGAGGGGUAUAACUACGGGAAACUGUAGCAAAUACCGCGUACUAUAGGAAGCGCCCAAGGGGGAUUAGGUAGUUGGGGAGGUAACGGCGCACCAAGCCGACGAUCUCUAGCUGGUCUGAGAGGAUGACCAGCCACACUGGGACUGAGACACGGCCCAGACUCCUACGGGAGGCAGCAGUGGGGAAUAUUGCGCAAUGGGGGCAACCUGACGCAGCCAUGCCGCGUGAAUGAAGAAGGCCUUCGGGUUGUAAAGUUCUUUCGGUAGCGAGGCGUUAACUACAGAAGAAGCACCGGCUAACUCCGUGCCAGCAGCCGCGGUAAUAC
RNAcentral lists this ribosomal RNA (405 nucleotides) under uncultured bacterium. RNAcentral describes it as "partial 16S ribosomal RNA". It matches the Rfam family "Bacterial small subunit ribosomal RNA", at positions 30 to 526 of the family's 1533-position model. The record is from RNAcentral.